AUGGGGAAGCAAAAGAAAACAAGGAAGUAUGCGACCAUGAAGUGAAUGCUUAGUCUCAGGGAUCAGAGGCUUACAGAAAAGGAUAAAUUAAAACCUAAAAAGAAAGAAAAGAAGGAUCCCAGCGUGUUAAAGGAAAGAGAAAUUCCCCAACACCCUACCUGCUUAUUUUUCCAAUAUAAUACACAGCUGGGCCCACCUUACCACAUCCUCAUUGAUACCAACCUUUAUCAACUUUUCCAUAAAAGCCAAACCAGACUUAGUGCAGUCAAUGAUGGACUGUCUGUAUACCAAGUGUAUUCCUUGUAUAACUGAUUGUGUAAUGCCUGAAAUUGAGAAAUUGGAGCAGAAGUAUGGAGUGGCUCUAAGGAUCACCAAGGAUCCAAGAUUUGAAGGAUUACCAUGUACACACAAAGGAACCUAAGCAGAUGACUCUUAGUACAGAGAGUAAUUCAGCAUAAGUUUUAUAUUGUGGCCACAGUUGACCAGGACCUUAAAAGAAGAAUCCCUAAGAUUCCUGGAGUUCCUGUCAUGUACAUUUCUAACCAUAGAUACAACAUUGAAUGAAUGCCAGAUGAUUAUGGAGCCCCUUGAUUCUAA
RNAcentral lists this long non-coding RNA (597 nucleotides) under Homo sapiens (human). Its description in RNAcentral is "non-protein coding lnc-CLOCK-2:1". The record is from RNAcentral. Lineage: Eukaryota; Metazoa; Chordata; Mammalia; Primates; Hominidae.